AGAACGAACGCUGGCGGCAGGCCUAACACAUGCAAGUCGAGCGCUACCUUCGGGUGAGCGGCGACGGGUUAGUAACGCGUGGGAAUGUACCCUUCUCUAUGGAAUAGCCUCGGGAAACUGAGAGUAAUACCAUAUACGCCCUUCGGGGGAAAGGUUUAUCGGAGAAGGAUCAGCCCGCGUAAGAUUAGAUAGUUGGUGGGGUAAUGGCCUACCAAGUCUACGAUCUUUAGCUGGUUUUAGAGGAUGAUCAGCAACACUGGGACUGAAACACGGCCCAGACUCC
RNAcentral lists this ribosomal RNA (283 nucleotides) under uncultured bacterium. RNAcentral's name for it is "partial 16S ribosomal RNA". It matches the Rfam family "Bacterial small subunit ribosomal RNA", at positions 26 to 339 of the family's 1533-position model. The record is from RNAcentral.